This 84-nucleotide transfer RNA is filed under the name Gemmatimonadota bacterium. RNAcentral describes it as "Gemmatimonadetes bacterium tRNA-Leu". It matches the Rfam family "tRNA". Rfam says of the family: Transfer RNA (tRNA) molecules are approximately 80 nucleotides in length. Their secondary structure includes four short double-helical elements and three loops (D, anti-codon, and T loops). Further hydrogen bonds mediate the characteristic L-shaped molecular structure. tRNAs have two regions of fundamental functional importance: the anti-codon, which is responsible for specific mRNA codon recognition, and the 3' end, to which the tRNAs corresponding amino acid is attached (by aminoacyl-tRNA synthetases). tRNAs cope with the degeneracy of the genetic code in two manners: having more than one tRNA (with a specific anti-codon) for a particular amino acid; and 'wobble' base-pairing, i.e. permitting non-standard base-pairing at the 3rd anti-codon position. The record is from RNAcentral. Lineage: Bacteria; Pseudomonadati; Gemmatimonadota.
GCGAAAGUGGCGGAAUCGGUAGACGCGCCAGCCUUAGGAGCUGGUGGCCAAUUGGCCGUGGGGGUUCGAGUCCCCCCUUUCGCA